GAUUUCUGCUUGACCGCCCUGGCCCGCCUCUUUCGGGAGGUGAGUGCUGGUGCGAGUCUUGCAUCCUUCUAGAGAGCCGUGCCUGCUGUUCACUCAGCUGGGCGUGUGCGAUCUAGAUCUUUUACUUUGAAAAAAUUAGAGUGUUUAAAGCAGGCUUACGCUGUGAAUACAUUAGCAUGGAAUAAUAAUAUAGGACUUUGGUCUUAUUUUGUUGGUUUCUAGGACUGAAGUAAUGAUUGAUAGGGAUAGUUGGGGGUGCUAGUAUUCAGCGGCCAGAGGUGAAAUUCUCGGAUUCGCUGAAGACUAACUUAUGCGAAAGCAUU
Molecule: ribosomal RNA, 323 nt
Filed under: uncultured Euglyphida
Lineage: Eukaryota; Cercozoa; Imbricatea; Euglyphida
Description: SSU rRNA
Rfam family: Eukaryotic small subunit ribosomal RNA (bases 108-323)
Source: RNAcentral